GUACAUGCUCUAUGUUGGCUAAUUUGACAAUAAAUUAUAUUAACAAAAAAACUAUUUCCUAAGUAUAAACCUCCUCGCUAAAAGAUUUCCCUAACUCAUCCUUUUGUUUUAUUUUUCCUUUCUUUCUUAUUUUUCCACUAAUAGAUCUUUUUUAAAGAUCUUUUUAAGCAGGUAACUUGAUAAAUUUAGAGGAUUUGGUUAAAGUUGUGAGUAUACUCAGGUAAACACUGAGUAUGGUGCUUCUAGUUUUUGAAGAAAAUUCUAGUCUUUGAAGAAAAUUAUCCACCAGGGCAUCUGGAUUGGCCUCCUGGGCUUAUUUGCACAAGAAAGAUAUUCCCAUCCAGAAGGACAGUAUGUAUCCAUUCUAUUCAGAGCAUUUCAACCCCUCACUCCUGGAUGAGAUACAGUCUAAAUCCCAUCAUUGAAACUACAUGUGACAAGCAAAGCUUCAACCACCUAGGCCAUACUGUUCUCUGAUUCUUCCUGAUCACGCUUUUCUGACGGACAUACACAUCUGAGACUGCACAAUUCACUCUAGGAUUCAGCAAACUGCCUUAGCUGAAUAAAUGCAUAUGACGGCCUCUACUGGGGAGACUUAGAAGAAAAAAAUACAUAUAAAGACUGUACUGCUCGA
This is a long non-coding RNA of Felis catus (domestic cat), 634 nucleotides long. RefSeq lists it as uncharacterized. The record is from RefSeq and is a predicted model, not a curated record. The transcript has 3 exons. Lineage: Eukaryota; Metazoa; Chordata; Mammalia; Carnivora; Felidae.